Molecule: ribosomal RNA, 500 nt
Filed under: uncultured bacterium
Lineage: Bacteria
Description: partial 16S ribosomal RNA
Rfam family: Bacterial small subunit ribosomal RNA
Source: RNAcentral
AUUGAACGCUGGCGGCAUGCCUUACACAUGCAAGUCGAACGGCGGCACGGGAGCAAUCCUGGUGGCGAGUGGCGAACGGGUGAGUAAAGUAUCGGAACGUGCCCAGCCGUGGGGGAUAACGUAGCGAAAGUUACGCUAAUACCGCAUACGAUCUAUGGAUGAAAGCGGGGGAUCGCAAGACCUCGCGCGAUUGGAGCGGCCGAUAUCAGAUUAGGUAGUUGGUGGGGUAAAGGCUCACCAAGCCGACGAUCUGUAGCUGGUCUGAGAGGACGACCAGCCACACUGGGACUGAGACACGGCCCAGACUCCUACGGGAGGCGGCAGUGGGGAAUUUUGGACAAUGGGCGAAAGCCUAAUCCAGCCAUGCCGCGUGCAGGAUGAAGGCCUUCGGGUUGUAAACUGCUUUUGUACGGAACGAAAAGGUUUGGGCUAAUAAGCUGAGCUCAUGACGGUACCGUAAGAAUAAGCACCGGCUAACUACGUGCCAGCAGCCGCAGUAA